CUCUUGAGCUCUUGUGGUGACCUGGGAAUCAAUGUGUGAGGUGGUGCUAUGUAGCAGGAACCCCUCUUGCUUUGCAAAUAGUUUUUUGUUUGUUUUCCUUUUUGCCCAAUAGAGCCCUGCUCUACUGACCCUUCAAUGUGCCCGUGUGCCUAAAUAUUCCUGGUCGUGUGAAAAGAACCCAGGUAUUAGCUGAACUAAGGAGCACAAUUCUGCAACAUUUUGGCACCCAAACACGGGGCUUGAGAAAUGAAUGCAAUUGGAGAAACUGGUUGUUUUACCAGGCGUUGAUUGGAAAUGUGUGCUUCCCUUUAAGCAGUCAAGCUCAACUUGCAGAACUGAUGGGAACCCCUUGGGAAAACUGGCCUCAAAUGUUUGUCUACACAGUCCACAUACAGGGUUCUUAACCUGCGUUUUUACCUACAUUUUAGACUGACCCUGCUUGUGCCUGUGAACCAACCAACAAUCUCUGGCUGCAGCUCAGAAAGGACAAAAGAGAAUGGCAUAUUUAACUAUCCGGCUAUUUUGGAGAUUGAAAAAAGAAGACCUGAUUUAUCAUGUGCAAUAUCUCACACAUCUGUCAUUUCUAUUCUACCGCAAUUCGAUGGAGUCUUGUUCUGUGGUCCAGGCUAGAGGGCAGUGGCAUGAUCUCGGCUCACUACAAGCUCUGCCUCCCGGGUUCACGCCAUUCUCCUGCCUCAGCCUCCUGAGUAGCUGGGACUACAGGCGCCCGCCACCACGCCUGGCUAAUUUUUUGUAUAUUUACUAGAGAUGGCUAGUGUUAGCCAAGAUGGUCUCGAUCUCCUGACCUCGUGAUCUGCCCACCUCAGCCUGCCAAAGUGCUGGGAUUACUGGCGUGAGCCACCGUGCCUGGCCAGCAUCCUCUAAUUAUUAUUCAUAGUUUGUGAAUUUAGGCCUACGUGAAUAAUAAUAUAAUAUUUACUAUGAUGUUACUAUCUACCAACCUUAUUUUUCUUUUCUAUAAAAUAGGAGCCAAAAUAAUAUUUAUGUCAUACCUUAUGAAGUUAAAAUAAAAUAUAACGAAUGAGGGGCUUAACAA
RNAcentral lists this long non-coding RNA (1057 nucleotides) under Homo sapiens (human). Its description in RNAcentral is "p53 upregulated regulator of p53 levels". The record is from RNAcentral. Lineage: Eukaryota; Metazoa; Chordata; Mammalia; Primates; Hominidae.